This 1894-nucleotide ribosomal RNA is filed under the name human gut metagenome. RNAcentral's name for it is "bacterial LSU rRNA". It matches the Rfam family "Bacterial large subunit ribosomal RNA", at positions 3 to 1990 of the family's 2925-position model. The record is from RNAcentral.
UCAAGCGAACAAGGGCGCAGGGCGAAUGCCUUGGCACUGGGAGCCGAUGAAAGACGUGAUAAGCUGCGAUAAGCUUCGGGGAGCUGCAAAUAAGCAUUGAUCCGGAGAUUUCUGAAUGAGGAAACUCACCUGGGUUCAUACUCAGGUACGUUAUACUGAACUUCAAAAUAGGUAUAUCGAGGGAACCGCCUGAACUGAAACAUCUAAGUAGGGCGAGGAAGAGACAUCAAACGAGAUUCCGUAAGUAGUGGCGAGCGAACGCGGAAGAGGGCAAACCGAGAGUAGAAAUACUUUCGGGGUACGGACCGCAUUUAGGACUUAAGUUGUUAACCGAACGGCAUGGGAAGGCCGGUCAGAGAGUGUGAGAACCACGUAGGUGAAAACGACAAGAGCCGAGCAAAUUCCAGAGUACGGCCAGACACGUGAAACCUGGUCGGAAUACGGGGGGACCACCCUCCAACCCUAAAUACUACCCAGUGACCGAUAGCGUAUAGUACUGUGAAGGAAAGGUGAAAAGCACCCCGGGAGGGGAGUGAAAAAGAACCUGAAACCCUGUGCCUACAAGCACCUAGAGCACGUCAAUGUGUGAUAGGGUACUUUUUGUAGAACGGUCCGGCGAGCGAUUGUAUGCAGCAAGGUUAAGGACUUAAGGUCUGGAGCCGAAGCGAAAGCGAGUUUGAAAAGGGCGUUAAGUUGCAUAUAAUGGGCCCGAAACCGGGUGACCUACCCAUGGUCAGGUUGAAGUGGAAGUAAAAUUCCAUGGAGGACCGAACCGACCUCCGUUGAAAAGGCGGCGGAUGAACUGUGGGUAGCGGAGAAAUUCCAAUCGAACCCGGAGAUAGCUGGUUCUCCCCGAAAUAGUUUUAGGACUAGCCUCAAGUUAGAUACCUGGAGGUAAAGCACUGAAUAGCCUAGCGGCCGAGAGGUUAGCGAAGCUUAUCAAACUCAGAAUGCCAGAGUAUUGAUGCUUGGGAGUCAGACAGUGUCAGAUAAAUGUCAUUGUCAAAAGGGAAACAGCCCAGAUCUACAGCUAAGGUCCCAAAGUCAGGUUAAGUGGAAAACGAUGUGAAGAUACGUAGACAACCAGGAUGUUGGCUCAGAAGCAGCCACUCAUUCAAAGAGUGCGUAAUAGCUCACUGGUCGAGCGUCUUUGCGCGGAGAAUUUAACGGGGCUAAACCUGACACCGAAGCUUAGGCAAUACAGCAAUGUAUUGGGUAGGGGAGCGUUGUAUACGCGGUGAAACAGUAGCGCAAGCGGCUGUGGAGUGUAUAGAAGUGAGAAUGCCGGAAUGAGUAGCGCGAAUGCAGUGAGAAUCUGCAUGGCCGAAAGCCUCAGGUUUCUGGAGGAAGGUUCGUCCGCUCCAGGUUAGUCGGGAGCUAAGGUGAGGCCUAACGGCGUAGCCGAUGCACAGACGGUAGAGAUUCCGUCACCACCAAAAGAGUUAAACACAGGGACACAUAUGAAGUCUCGGAGCCGGGUGUUGGUUCCGGUAGCGAUCGAGGGAAAUUAGUACCGAAGUCCGGGAUGGAAGAUGGCGAGAAAAGCUGUGUGUAUUUCUGCGGUGCCCGUACCGCAAACCGACACAGGUAGGUAGGAAGAAGAUUCUAAGGCCAACGGGAGAAGGGUUGUUAAGGAACUCGGCAAAUUGACCCCGUAACUUCGGGAGAAGGGGUGCUCCAGAGAUGGAGCCGCAGAGAAUCGGCCCAAGCAACUGUUUACCAAAAACACAGGUUUGUGCUAAAUCGAAAGAUGACGUAUACGAGCUGACGCCUGCCCGGUGCUGGAAGGUUAAGAGGAGAUGUGCAAGCAUUGAAUCGAAGCCCCAGUGAACGGCGGCCGUAACUAUAACGGUCCUAAGGUAGCGAAAUUCCUUGUCAGGUAAGUUCUGACCCG